This 107-nucleotide small nuclear RNA is filed under the name Sciurus carolinensis (gray squirrel). Lineage: Eukaryota; Metazoa; Chordata; Mammalia; Rodentia; Sciuridae. The record is from RNAcentral. RNAcentral also lists the same sequence under 1 other name.
GUGCUCACUUCAGCAGCACAUACACUAGAAUUGGAAUGAUACAGAGAAGAUUAGCAUGACCCCUAUGCAAGAAUGACACACAAAUUUGUGAAGCAUUCCAUAAUUUU